AUGUGGGGAGAUUUUGCUGAGCUUGACAGUGCCGUGAAGGGAACAGUAAAAUUUGGUGAUGGGUCAAUAGUGGACAUCUGCGGCCAUGGGUCAGUCCUAUUUCAUGGUCAGACUGGAGAGCACAAGCUGUUGACAGAGGUAUACUUCAUUCCAAGGCUAAAGAGCAAUAUAAUCAGUGUAGGGCAGCUAGAUGAGAUUGGUUGCAAGACUGAAAUUGAGUUUGGAGUGAUGACAGUACUUGAUAGACAGCGUAAGCUACUGGCCAGAGUGAAGAGGUCGCACAAUCGACUGUAUAUUCUAAAUAUCAAUCUUGCACAUCCUGAAUGCCUCUUAACAAAGACCAAGGAUGAGUCCUGGUUAUGGCAUGCCCGCUAUGGCCAUAUUAAUUUCCAUGCAUUGAGGUCCCUCUCGUCGAAAGGAAUGGUGCGAGGAAUGCCUUACGUGGAUCAGGUUGACAGAGUUUGUGACGGUUGCAUGCUAGGAAAGCAACGGCGUGCACCCUUCCCUGCAGCAGCUAGCUACCGAGCAGAGCAGCCGUUAGAGCUGAUGCAUGGUGAUCUCUGUGGUCCAGUCUCGCCACCAACAUUUACUGGAAAACAAUACUUCCUCUUGUUGGUCGACGACAACUCACGUUUUAUGUGGGUGGAGCUGAUCCGAAGCAAAGAUGAGGCGUUUGCUGCUCUGAAGAAAGUAAAGGCUGCAGUAGAGCUCAAGAAAGAUGUGAAGCUCAGAGCACUCAGAACAGAUAGAGGUGGUGAGUUUACUUCGAAAGAAUUUGAGUUUUACUGUGAAGAGCUUGGCAUCACUCACUACCUCACCGCGCCGUAUUCGCCACAACAAAAUGGCGUGGUCGAGCGCAGGAACCAGACAAUGAUCAAUAUGGCGAGAAGCAUGAUGAAAAGUAAGGGGUUGCCUGGAGCAUUUUGGGGAGAAGCAGUAGUGGCUGCUGUUUACCUUUUGAAUCGAGCGCCGACCAAAAGUCUAAUUGGGAUGACUCCGUACGAAGCAAUGUAUGGGAAGAAACCAAGUGUUGAACACCUAAGAACCUUUGGGUGUGUCCGUUAUGUGAAAAAGGUGGCUGGUCACCUCCCCAAGCUGGCUGAUCGGAGCUCUGCCAUGGUUUUCAUAGGAUAUGAACCGAAGUCCAAGGCCUACCGGAUGUAUGAUCCGGAGAAGAAAAAGUUGUGUGUAUCUCGAGAUGUUGUGUUUGCAGAAGAUGAGCAGUGGAAGUGGGAUUCAGAAACCAUGGAAAAUUUAACAUCUAUGGGCACAUUUUCAGUACAGUACACUGUCCCUGUUUCUGAACCUGAAGCAAUUAGGACACCAGGAACAGGAGGUGCGAAGCCUGAAUCCACCAUUGGCACACCUGCUACUCCAGGCACAUCAACAUCAAGUGAGAGCACUGACUCCACCAUUGGCACACCUGCUACUCCGGGCACACCAACAUCAAGUGAGAGCACUCCUUCACCUUGGUCACCCAACUUUGUGUUGCCACCGACUGAUGCAUCGCUUCUGACUCCAACUAAGGGGCAGAGAAGAUACAGGCUGCUUGAUGAUCUGUUCGAGGAAACAAUAGAAGUAGAGGCAAGUUCAGAACUUUGUCUCAUGGGGUCAGAGGAACCUUCUGAUCAUAGACAGGCCAGCAAAGAGCACAAGUGGCGGUGUGCUAUGGAAGAGGAGCUUGAGUCGAUCAGGAGUAACAAGACUUGGCAGCUCACCAUACUUCCACCUGGACAAAAACCUAUAGGCCUCAAGUGGGUUUAUAAACUGAAGAAGGAUUCAGCUGGAAGGGUUGUCAAGUACAAAGCACGCCUAGUAGCGAAGGGAUAUGUGCAACGUCCAGGGAUUGAUUUUGAAGAAGUUUUUGCGCCAGUUGCAAGACUCGAGACAGUGCGUUUGCUGAUAGCACUGGCAGCGCAAGAGAAGUGGGAGCUUCACCACAUGGAUGUCAAGUCUGCAUUUUUAAACGGCGAUCUGUCCGAGGAGGUGUAUGUCACCCAGCCACCUGGGUAUGAGAAGAAAGGUGAUGAGGAUAAGGUGCUAAAGUUGAGCAAGGCUCUCUAUGGGCUGCGACAAGCACCGCGUGCCUGGAACUCAAAACUUGAUCAGACACUAGUCUCAAUGGGGUUUGAAAAAUGCCCAUUAGAACAUGCUGUCUACAAGAAAUUCAGUGGGAACUCAACUCUGCUGGUUGGGGUGUAUGUGGAUGACCUCAUAAUUACAGGAGGCAGCAGCAAGGAGAUUGCUGAGAUCAAAGAGCAGAUGAAAAGGAAAUUCUGCAUGAGUGAUUUGGGCCUGCUAAGCUAUUAUCUUGGGAUUGAGGUAAAACAAACUCAAUCUGCUAUCACCAUUAGCCAAUCCUCUUAUGCAGCUCGGAUUCUGGAGAAGUGUGGUAUGGCAGAUUGUUAUUCAACCAAAGUUCCUAUGGAGCCAAGGCAGAAAUUGAGCAAGCAUAGUAAGAAUCCUCCUGUUGAUGCGACGAUGUAUCGUAGCAUUGUUGGUAGCUUGCGCUACCUAGUCCACUCUCGCCCUGACAUAGCAUAUAUAUAA
RNAcentral lists this ribosomal RNA (2550 nucleotides) under Triticum aestivum (bread wheat). Its description in RNAcentral is "partial small subunit ribosomal RNA". The record is from RNAcentral. Lineage: Eukaryota; Viridiplantae; Streptophyta; Magnoliopsida; Poales; Poaceae.